AGUCUGAGAGAGAAAGAGCCGGCCGACCCUGGAAGCCUACGAACUUUGGUUCCGCUUGCGGGGGAGGAGGAGGCUGAGCUACCAGGAAACCGCGGGGCCACCUGAAGAGAGCCGAGCUAUCAAGGAGUUUUAGGCAAUUGACAACCAGUUGCAAGUUGACCUGAAGGCGAUCAGCUUUGAAGGCAGAGAUGAACAUGAUUUCACCAGGAGGCACUGCAGGCAGCUCGCAAAUCACCUUGCUGAGCCAGUUUUGCAGAGAAAGAGUUAUCAAUGUCAUGGGGGCAUUAGUUUUUCCACAUUUACUUUAUGCAUUCAAUAGGCCCCUGUAAGGAAUUUCUGGCUGUUUGGCAGUGGCCUAAAUGUACUUGCUUCUGUGUGGCCCAAUUCCCGAGAUACGAUUCUUGCAAUUCAAGUAAGGGUUAGUUAGGUUUCCUUCAGUUUAUUCCAAUCUAUGUUCUGACUGCAACUUUUCAGAGUUCUUCAGGAAGUUUCUGACAAAAAUGAAAGCCUUUGGCAAGUGUCUGAGGAAGUAGACAACAGAUCAAGAUUCCCCUCCCCAAAGGAUAUAUUAGUCACUUAUGGAGAAAUUCCAAGACCUCAUUGAAAAUAAAAUAUUAAUGAAUAUGAAAGGGGGAUCCCCCAUUGGAAUCAGGAGAGAGCACAUAACAUGAAAAGCAUAUGGAGGGGCGCCUGGGUGGCUCAGUCAGUUAAGUGUCCGACUUCAGGUCAUGAUCUCACGGUUUGUGGGUUUGUCAAGCCCAGCGUCAGACUCCGUGCUGACACCUCAGAGCCUGGAGCCUGCUUCAGAUUCUGUGUCUCCCUCUGUCUCUGCCCUGUCCCUGCUCGUGCUGUCUGUCUCUCUCUCAAAAAUAAAUAAACAUUAAAAAAAUUAAAAAGAAAUAAAAAAGCAUGUAGAAAUAAGGACACAGAAUUGUUCAGAGAAAUAGAUAAAACGGAACCUUGAAAACUGCACAUUUCUACAUUUGGACAUCUAGAAAACUUUUGAAAAAUAAUCUAAUAUCAGGCACCAACACAUUUCUAGGGAAAGCUAAAUCUGCUAAGUAUUUCUAUAAUUUCAACAUAUACUUGAGAUGAAUUGUUGUUUCUCCCAUUGGCAUCCAAAGAUAAAGUUCUUUCCCAAAAUGGCACCCUUGCAUGCUGAGCCAUACAAGCAAAAAGACAGGACAGUAUGAAAACCAUCUAUUUUUCUUGUGAUGACACACGCGGUCUCCUCAACUGCCAGCACUUCUCUCUGGUUUGAUCCCUUAAUGUCAAAAAAGAGUUGGGAUAGUUGUCUAAACUUCCCCUGCCAUACUAUAGGUCUAGAAAAAUCAACAAUGAGGAACUAAGCAACACAGACAGAGCUGGUUUGAAACUCCUGCCUGCUUAGGGAGAAGAAUAACUAGCUUAGCAGGGUUUUGUGGUCACUUGUUUUCCUUCCAAAGAGUAACUCAAACUCUCCCAUCACACAAAUUCAAUCUACACCCAUCAAAUAAAUUCAAUGGGAAUCCAAGGAAAGAGAAGAGGUAGACAAAACAGACUGAAGUAUAACUUUUCAGUUCCCAAAUGUCUCAACUACUUUAAAAUUUUUCCUUUCAUGGGGCAGGAAAGAAAUUUUUUUAAUGAAAAAAAAAAAUCCUUUCACUUCAUCACUUCUUAAAACCCCAUGGAAAUUAAACAAACAAACUUGGUAAAAGAAAAUGAAGGACUUUCAGAUGAGAGAGACUGAAAACAGGUAAUAAAUAGGCAAAACUGGAGUAGAAAUGAGGAAUUGAGAGCAAAAAUAUUAGCAAGGAGAGUCUCCCAGUUUGAGAUAUCUUUUUGAAAUUUCAUUCAAGAAUUAUUUUUUGAGCCAGCUACAGUGAAUAAGACCCUGGGUUUACUUACUAUAAAUAACUUACAUAGAGAAUGAUACAGAUUCCAGACAAUAACACAGAUUUCUGGAGAAAUGAGGUAACUUUUGGAUAUUUUAGUGUCUUAAAUCCAAAAACUAUGUUAGUUUACUUAUCACUAACAUUCCUGUAAAACUGUCUCUAUGGAGCUUCCUACCGUCAAUAUGUACAACCAGAGAAAUGAAGAUUGCUUGGAGUUCUAGAAGAGGAUACAGCAGAGAUAUGACCCACUCUUUUGGGACUGCAGCAUCAAACCAGGAAAUCACCUGUGUCUCACCGAUCAGAACAUGCUGUGUUUUUUUAAAAACCAGACUCGCCUUUGUACUAUGUAAUCAUGUUAAUGGCUGGUAGCCAAAAAAUUCUUUUUGCUUGCA
Molecule: long non-coding RNA, 2266 nt
Organism: Panthera uncia (snow leopard)
Lineage: Eukaryota; Metazoa; Chordata; Mammalia; Carnivora; Felidae
Exons: 2
Source: RefSeq, a predicted model, not a curated record